AAGUCGUAACAAGGUUUCCGUAGGUGAACCUGCGGAAGGAUCAUUACUCUUAGCUUAUUUCAAGUACUCGUACUGGAAUAUUGCUAUACUCUAAACACCAAACUGUGCUCUUUCUUUUUCAACCCAUUCUCAGCUCCUUCACAGGACUGGACCCUUUCUUAUCAAUACAACUGACUCAAUUGUGCGUUGGAUCAGAUGCUAUUCGUAGCUCCCUGUCUCCACUCACAUCUGUACUGUUUGCAUACACUUGAUUGUGUAUUCAGGCUGUACUUGUUGAACCACAGAAUGUGAUUGUGACUGCGUCCCUUCGUGUUCUCAGUCCAGUUCAUUCACGUGAAAACAACUCCGAACAAUGGAUAUCUCGGCUCUC
This 370-nucleotide unclassified non-coding RNA is filed under the name fungal sp. RNAcentral's name for it is "partial internal transcribed spacer region". The stretch from base 1 to 46 matches the Rfam family "Eukaryotic small subunit ribosomal RNA", at positions 1786 to 1831 of the family's 1831-position model. The record is from RNAcentral. Lineage: Eukaryota; Fungi.